GGCUGCGUGAUGGUUGGGGGCCAUGGAUGGGGACUCCUGCUCCCUGCUCCCAUGGCCCCAACACCCUCCCGGGUCCCAGGUGAUCCACUGGAACUCACCAAAGAAGCUUCGGGUGAAGAACAAGCACGUGGAAUUCUUCCGCAAUUUCUACCUGACCUUCCUGGAGUACGAUGGGAACUUGCUGCGGAGAGAGCUCUUUGUGUGCCCCAGCCAGCCCCCACCUGGUGCUGAGCAGUUGCAGCAGGCCCUGGCACAACUGGACGAGGAAGACCCCUGCUUUGAGUUCCGGCAGCAGCAGCUCACUGUGCACCGUGUGCAUGUCACUUUCCUGCCCCAUGAACCGCCACCCCCCCGGCCUCACGAUGUCACCCUUGUGGCCCAGCUGUCCAUGGACCGGCUGCAGAUGUUGGAAGCCCUGUGCAGGCACUGGCCUGGCCCCAUGAGCCUGGCCUUGUACCUGACAGACGCAGAAGCUCAGCAGUUCCUGCAUUUCGUCGAGGCCUCACCAGUGCUUGCUGCCCGGCAGGACGUGGCCUACCAUGUGGUGUACCGUGAGGGGCCCCUAUACCCCGUCAACCAGCUUCGCAACGUGGCCUUGGCCCAGGCCCUCACGCCUUACGUCUUCCUCAGUGACAUUGACUUCCUGCCUGCCUAUUCUCUCUACGACUACCUCAGGGCCUCCAUUGAGCAGCUGGGGCUGGGCAGCUGGCGCAAGGCAGCACUGGUGGUGCCGGCAUUCGAGACCCUGCGCUACCGCUUCAGCUUCCCCCAUUCCAAGGUGGAGCUGUUGGCCUUGCUGGAUGCGGGCACUCUCUACACCUUCAGGUACCACGAGUGGCCCCGGGGCCACGCACCCACAGACUAUGCCCGCUGGCGGGAGGCUCAGGCCCCGUACCGUGUGCAAUGGGCAGCCGACUAUGAACCCUACGUGGUGGUGCCACGAGACUGUCCCCGCUAUGAUCCUCGCUUUGUGGGCUUCGGCUGGAACAAAGUGGCCCACAUUGUGGAGCUGGAUGCCCAGGAAUAUGAGCUCCUGGUGCUGCCCGAGGCCUUCACCAUCCAUCUGCCCCACGCUCCAAGCCUGGACAUCUCCCGCUUCCGCUCCAGCCCCACCUAUCGUGACUGCCUCCAGGCCCUCAAGGACGAAUUCCACCAGGACUUGUCCCGCCACCAUGGGGCUGCUGCCCUCAAAUACCUCCCAGCCCUGCAGCAGCCCCAGAGCCCUGCCCGAGGCUGAGGCUGGGCCGGCGCUGCCCCUCAUCUUAGCAUUGGGCAGACACCAGGGCAACCUGCCCUCCGCCAUCCCUGCUAUUUAAAUUAUUUAAGGUCUCUGGGAAGGGCUGGGGCAGAGCAUCUGUGGGGUGGGGUCUUCCCCUUGCUGCUAUUGUAUGGCUGGGGACUGGUCUCUCUCUGCCUCAGCCAGUUUGGGGCUGGUUCCCCCAUCUUGAAUUGUUUAUCCCUUUUUCAUAAUUAA
RNAcentral lists this small RNA (1474 nucleotides) under Pan troglodytes (chimpanzee). RNAcentral describes it as "retained intron". The record is from RNAcentral. Lineage: Eukaryota; Metazoa; Chordata; Mammalia; Primates; Hominidae.